CCUUCAACAUUUCUAUAGCUUUUUCCGGCGACACUUUUAAAUCCAACCAUAGCUGCAAACAUUUACAUUUUACAAAGAAAUUGUAUAUAAAUCUAUUUGUCAAACGAUUUAUAUUUUUAUUUAUACUUACACGACAUUGUUCAUCGUCUAGAAAAAUUGGCGUACGAUCAUGCAACCAUGACAAAACGUGAUUCGCUUCUUUAAAUGAAAACAAAUCUGAAGAUAUGCGGUUUAAUUUCUGUUGGUUUUACGGAGUCCAUUACCUCAACUAACCUUAUGCCAAGGCGGUAUCAUACCCCAUAACAUAGGACAAAGAAGUCUUUCCUCCUUAUUCACUAAGUGCAUACCAGCGACAACACAAGGAACAACAUCUCUGGGACCUAUGUUGCAUGAUUGUACAUAAACAGAUUCACUGGUAUCCACCCAUGGUACUUUAUGAUAUUCGCCUGAUGGUUUUUUGUAUGCGCAAGCACAUGACAAUUUAUCUUUCGACAAAGUACUGCAAAUAAAAAUGUAAUUUUUAAA
This 525-nucleotide long non-coding RNA is filed under the name Polistes fuscatus (common paper wasp). RNAcentral describes it as "uncharacterized LOC122518235". Lineage: Eukaryota; Metazoa; Arthropoda; Insecta; Hymenoptera; Vespidae. The record is from RNAcentral.